CGGGACACGUGGUAUCCUGUCUGAAUAUGGGGGGACCAUCCUCCAAGGCUAAAUACUCCUGACUGACCGAUAGUGAACCAGUACCGUGAGGGAAAGGCGAAAAGAACCCCGGCGAGGGGAGUGAAAAAGAACCUGAAACCGUGUACGUACAAGCAGUGGGAGCACGCUUAGGCGUGUGACUGCGUACCUUUUGUAUAAUGGGUCAGCGACUUAUAUUCUGUAGCAAGGUUAACCGAAUAGGGGAGCCGAAGGGAAACCGAGUCUUAACUGGGCGUUAAGUUGCAGGGUAUAGACCCGAAACCCGGUGAUCUAGCCAUGGGCAGGUUGAAGGUUGGGUAACACUAACUGGAGGACCGAACCGACUAAUGUUGAAAAAUUAGCGGAUGACUUGUGGCUGGGGGUGAAAGGCCAAUCAAACCGGGAGAUAGCUGGUUCUCCCCGAAAGCUAUUUAGGUAGCGCCUCGUGAAUUCAUCUCCGGGGGUAGAGCACUGUUUCGGCAAGGGGGUCAUCCCGACUUACCAACCCGAUGCAAACUGCGAAUACCGGAGAAUGUUAUCACGGGAGACACACGGCGGGUGCUAACGUCCGUCGUGAAGAGGGAAACAACCCAGACCGCCAGCUAAGGUCCCAAAGUCAUGGUUAAGUGGGAAACGAU
RNAcentral lists this ribosomal RNA (656 nucleotides) under Escherichia coli. RNAcentral describes it as "partial 23S ribosomal RNA". It matches the Rfam family "Bacterial large subunit ribosomal RNA", at positions 418 to 1074 of the family's 2925-position model. The record is from RNAcentral. Lineage: Bacteria; Pseudomonadati; Pseudomonadota; Gammaproteobacteria; Enterobacterales; Enterobacteriaceae.